GGACUACUAGGGUUUCUAAUCCUGUUCGCUCCCCACGCUUUCGCACCUCAGCGUCAGUAUUGGUCCAGGAAGCCGCCUUCGCCACUGAUGUUCCUUCCGAUAUCUACGCAUUUCACCGCUACACCGGAAAUUCCGCUUCCCUCUCCCAUACUCUAGCCGUGCAGUUUCGAAUGCAAUUCCAAGGUUAAGCCCUGGGCUUUCACAUCCGACUUACACAACCGCCUACGCGCGCUUUACGCCCAGUAAUUCCGAUUAACGCUCGCACCCUCCGUAUUACCGCGGCUGCUGGCACGGAGUUAGCCGGUGCUUCUUCUGUAGGUUACGUCAAGACCCAGGGUUAUUAACCCUAAGCUUUUCUUCUCUACUGAAAGUGCUUUACAACCCGCAGGCCUUCUUCACA
Molecule: unclassified non-coding RNA, 400 nt
Filed under: uncultured Gammaproteobacteria bacterium
Lineage: Bacteria; Pseudomonadati; Pseudomonadota; Gammaproteobacteria
Description: contains 16S-23S intergenic spacer region
Source: RNAcentral